This is a long non-coding RNA of Nilaparvata lugens (brown planthopper), 775 nucleotides long. RefSeq lists it as uncharacterized. The transcript is spliced from 4 exons. The record is from RefSeq and is a predicted model, not a curated record. NCBI's taxonomy places the organism in Eukaryota, Metazoa, Arthropoda, Insecta, Hemiptera, Delphacidae.
UAAUAAUAAUGUAAGUGUAAAGUACAUACUACAUGUUUUGCAUUUUGCAACAGAAACAGCUUCUUAUGGAGUAUUAUUUCACAGGCUACUUUUUUUUCAUGUAAUGUAUUAAAAUGUAAUUAUAAUUACGAUUGGGAUAAUGCAAAAAUAUACUUUUUGGUUAGUGAUAUCUAUUAUAUUGUGACAGAAUUUGGUUUCUCAAUAAUUCUCAUCGUGAGUGCCAAAAUGAUCAAUUGCAUCCUAAUGGAACGUUCAAGAUGUGAUUCAGUAACUGAUACGGUAGUUGCAAUCAUUAUUUUUGACCAAAUUGAAUCCAAAAAUAAUUGAAGAAAUGGUUUCAGAUGAUUACGAAUAAGCGCAGCUAUAUCUGGAGAGGUAAUGCACCUACUGAUAUCCCGUGAUAAGAACUUGGGAGAGAUUUAGUGAAAACCUGGAGAACGGCCACUUAGCUCACAAAUCUGAGCUGUUCACAUCAAGCUGAUAUUUGUGACAGCCAUUAUAGCUUUAAUCAUUUUCUCGAUUGAUCAAAGCACCACAGGCUGCAUCGUUCGUCACCUCUGCCUUCAAGCGCGUUAUGACUUACUCCAAUAAGCCACCCAAUAUCCUUAAUAAGCAAUAGAAGUUCUUAUCGACUAUGUAUGACUCAUUAAUAUCCAUGUUUUGUAUAAAUUUAUGUGAUAGGCCUACUGGUAUUAAUGUUGAUGUACCGUAAUGUUUUUUGCUCAUGUAUAAUUGAUAAUAAUACAUUAAAAAUAAAUAUAAUGUUAAAUUAUUA